RNAcentral lists this long non-coding RNA (204 nucleotides) under Erythranthe guttata (spotted monkey flower). Its description in RNAcentral is "long non-coding RNA (EGUT_LNC003670)". The record is from RNAcentral. Lineage: Eukaryota; Viridiplantae; Streptophyta; Magnoliopsida; Lamiales; Phrymaceae.
AUCAAAUUGCAAUUUUGCACACAAAAAACAUUUAGGAAAAAUCAACAGAAAACUCAUCCAGUUCCUAUUAUUCCAGCCCCAAUCAAUACUAUAUACGAACAGUGAGGAAAUUCAUUUGGUAUUGGUAAUAAUCAUAUCUUGCUUUUCAAUUUGUAAUCAGAAUUAUGAUGAGGAAUCGAAUUACCAAUCCACCUGCUUCAUCUA